CUGCAGGCGGCUGGGAGCUGUAAGGCACGGGCUGGCACUCACAGGAGGGCAGCAGGGCUUCCAGCUUUCAUGCUUGAGCUGGGCAGAGCAUAGUGCCAAUGUGUGCAUGUCUGCUGGGCUUCUGACCACGGAACAUGCAUACAAAAGCAUACAUGACUCUCCUGCUGAUGCUGAGGGGCCUGACCCUGCGCUGGCAUGACGGACUGCAGAGCCGAUGCCUGUGUCCUGACAGUGCUUGAAGAUCCUGGAGCAUCCUGGAGGAUGGGGGUCCUGCCUUCCAUAAGAAAGUGCUGGGCAGGAACGGCAAGAAUAUUUCCAUUAUUCAGUGUUUGUUCAAUACCUGGCCAAGGACAGCUCAAGAAACUGAUUGGAAAUUGAAAAAGAAGCAAAAUCCAUUUUCUUUCUCUUGCCUAAGGAGGGAAGGAAGAAGAUGAAGUUAAGAGCUUUCAUUUCUGAAAUCAUGAAAUCCAUAAAACGUCCAGAUCCCAUCACAGAAAAUGUUCUUUUAUUUAAAAAAAUGGGUUAGUUUUAAUAUUUUAGAAGUGUAAGUUCUUUUCCUACAUAUAUUUAGGACAUUUAAGAUACAGUAAAAACACAUUUUAAA
RNAcentral lists this long non-coding RNA (604 nucleotides) under Numida meleagris (helmeted guineafowl). Its description in RNAcentral is "lncRNA (ENSNMEG00000016951.1)". Lineage: Eukaryota; Metazoa; Chordata; Aves; Galliformes; Numididae. The record is from RNAcentral.